Homo sapiens (human) is the source of this 541-nucleotide long non-coding RNA. Ensembl annotates it as LAMTOR5 and SLC16A4 antisense RNA 1. Its record names the gene LAMTOR5-AS1. The record is from Ensembl. Lineage: Eukaryota; Metazoa; Chordata; Mammalia; Primates; Hominidae.
AGAGACUAAAGGACGAGAUGGAGCAAGGUUCAACCCCCUAGCUGAGUGUUGGCAGUGUCGGGAUUUUAACGAAGACAUUGGUGCUUAUUAUGGAAGAGUGUCUUCAUCUCUGCAUCCCUAGUGCAACAGAGCAUGACAAAAAUUCAACAAAUAUUUAUUGAAGAGUCUUGAUGUCUUUUGGGAAAGGAACUCUAUGGUUACCUUUACUCUAAGUUAAAAACAACAACAACAACAACAAAAACACAAAACCCUGAGGCUCAGAAGAUAAAUAUUUGCUGAAGAUCACUGUGCUUAUUAGAUGGGUGUUACUGAUUCUUACCUCAGAGAAGAGAAUGUCAUGGAGACAAAAUGACCUGCUUAGAGUUCUGCACCCCCCAGCAUGGAGAGCAGAGCGCAAAGAUUUCUUCCGGACUCCCACAUUCCCCUUGGAAUCCAAGAACUGGUCUACUGUCACAACACUUUAGUACCCUCUUCUCCCAAGGAGGCAGCAGAAACUGGGGUAAUCACAACGGUCAACAGCAGCAAAGGCAGCACUUUCUGA